CCUACGGGUGGCAGCAGUGAGGAAUAUUGGUCAAUGGGCGGGAGCCUGAACCAGCCAAGUCGCGUGAGGGAAGACGGUCCUAUGGAUUGUAAACCUCUUUAGGCGGGGAGCAAUGCCGGGCACGUGUGCCCGGAGGGAGAGUACCCGCAGAAUAAGCAUCGGCUAACUCCGUGCCAGCAGCCGCGGUAAUACGGAGGAUGCGAGCGUUAUCCGGAUUUAUUGGGUUUAAAGGGUGCGUAGGCGGAUUUUUAAGUCAGCGGUAAAAAUGCGGUGCUCAACGCCGUACAGCCGUUGAAACUGGCAGUCUUGAGUGGGCGAGAAGUAUGCGGAAUGCGUGGUGUAGCGGUGAAAUGCAUAGAUAUCACGCAGAACUCCGAUUGCGAAGGCAGCAUACCGGCGCCCGACUGACGCUGAGGCACGAAAGCGUGGGUAUCGAACAGGAUUAGAUACCCUUGUAGUC
Molecule: ribosomal RNA, 460 nt
Filed under: uncultured bacterium
Lineage: Bacteria
Description: partial 16S ribosomal RNA
Rfam family: Bacterial small subunit ribosomal RNA
Source: RNAcentral